RNAcentral lists this long non-coding RNA (1057 nucleotides) under Marmota monax (woodchuck). Lineage: Eukaryota; Metazoa; Chordata; Mammalia; Rodentia; Sciuridae. The record is from RNAcentral.
AUUAAAACUAGUGACAUCUAUUUUAAAUAGUUUAAAGUUGAGACUUGGCUUCAAUUCUAAUAUGCCUAUUUUAACCCAUCUCUUCCUGUGUUAUUUAGAAUAAGCCGGGCCUUGAGAAUGUAAAAAAAAUCAUCAUGGAGUGGGACUCCUGAGGAAAGAAAUGACCAUAUCAGUAUGAAUUUCAGUCCAAGACACACUGAGCUGCCCGCUGGAACCCCCAGGUGCAGCAAGGGCAUACCAUCUGGUGAAGAAGAAGUGUUUCUGGACGAGGAGGUUCAAGAGGAAGUACACCACCCCUUCUGCUGCCAUGGCAAUCAGGUUCUUCCCAAUCAGGUCCCACUGGAAUGGAUUUGGGGAGUGCUCCUCACCUGGAGAUUUGAGGCCACUGAACAUCAAUAGGGUUUGAGUCUGUGUCAGCUGCCCCAGGUACCCCCUAAAAACCUGGCUACAAUAGGCCCAACUGGACCAGGCCUCAUGCAAGGGAUUAAGUAAGAGCCAAACAUGAGUCUCAUCUUGGCUUUCAAGUCAAAGAGGGAGAGAGUAAAAACCUGCCCUCUGCCCCUCCUGUGACUCCUGAGCCAUGAGAACAGAGGCACCCUAAUCCCUCCUGGGUGGCAGAAUAAACCCAAGCCAACACAGUGCCUUUCCACCCCAGCCCAGGGUACAGAUAUGAUUGUAUCCUGCAAUCCUCUCUGCCUCAAUGGAUCCAGGGCCUGUGCUCCAUGGACCUUGAAUGCCACCCACCAAACCGGGCAUAGACGUCUGUCACAGCCUGACUCAGGGCCAGGUCAAUGAGGCCCCGGCCCAGGCAGAAGUGGGGGAAGAUAAUGAGCAGCUUCCUCAGCAUGGCGUUGAACCUGAGUAGCAUCUGAAACAGAAGGACAACUGUUAGAUAUAAGGGCUGAUGCUGCCUACCCUGUCCUGAGCAGGUGGGCCGGGAUGCCCUCUCAGGGUGGGAGCAGAGGAGGUCUGCAGGAAAAGGACUUCCAGCUAGACUGGCCACAGGAGGGAUUGGUCAGGCAGGAUGCAGAGGGUUUGAUGUAGCCAUCCUGAAGUA